Molecule: microRNA, 22 nt
Filed under: Cordylochernes scorpioides
Lineage: Eukaryota; Metazoa; Arthropoda; Arachnida; Pseudoscorpiones; Chernetidae
Source: RNAcentral
CUCCCACGUGGUCUAGUGGUUA